CGACCUCAGAUCAGACGUGGCGACCCGCUGAAUUUAAGCAUAUUAGUCAGCGGAGGAAAAGAAACUAACGAGGAUUCCCUCAGUAACGGCGAGUGAAGAGGGAAGAGCCCAGCGCCGAAUCCCCGCCCCGCGGUGGGGCGCGGGACAUGUGGCGUACAGAAGCCCCCCUCCCCGGCGGCGCUCUCGGGGGACCCAAGUCCUUGUGAUCGAGGCCGCAGCCCGCGGACGGUGUGAGGCCGGUAGCGGCCCCCC
RNAcentral lists this non-coding RNA (252 nucleotides) under Nestor notabilis (Kea). RNAcentral's name for it is "Eukaryotic large subunit ribosomal RNA". It matches the Rfam family "Eukaryotic large subunit ribosomal RNA", at positions 1 to 234 of the family's 3401-position model. The record is from Rfam by way of RNAcentral. Lineage: Eukaryota; Metazoa; Chordata; Aves; Psittaciformes; Psittacidae.